RNAcentral lists this ribosomal RNA (430 nucleotides) under uncultured archaeon. RNAcentral's name for it is "bacterial SSU rRNA". It matches the Rfam family "Archaeal small subunit ribosomal RNA", at positions 474 to 903 of the family's 1478-position model. The record is from RNAcentral.
UACCAGCUCUCCGAGUGGUGUGGAUGUUUAUUGGGCCUAAAGCAUCCGUAGCUGGCUGGACAAGUCCCCUGUUAAAUCCACCGAUUUAAUCGUUGGUGUGCGGGGGAUACUGUUCGGCUAGGGGACGGGAGAGGCCGACGGUAUUUCCGGGGUAGGGGUGAAAUCCUAUAAUCCCGGGAAGACCACCAGUGGCGAAGGCUGUCGGCUAGAACGCGCCCGACGGUGAGGGAUGAAAGCUGGGGGGAGCGAACCGGAUUAGAUACCCGGGUAGUCCCAGCUGUAAACGAUGCAGGCUAGGUGUUUGGGCGGCCACGUGCCGCUCUAGUGCCGCAAGGAAGCUGUUAAGCCUGCCGCCUGGGGAGUACGGCCGCAAGGCUGAAACUUAAAGGAAUUGGCGGGGGAGCACCACAAGGGGUGAAGCUUGCGGUUU